CCUACGGGUGGCUGCAGUGAGGAAUAUUGGUCAAUGGGCGGGAGCCUGAACCAGCCAAGCCGCGUGAGGGAAGAAGGUACAGCGUAUCGUAAACCUCUUUUGUCAGGGAACAAAGGCGGGGACUAGUCCCCGGAUGAGGGUACCUGAAGAAAAAGCAUCGGCUAACUCCGUGCCAGCAGCCGCGGUAAUACGGAGGAUGCGAGCGUUAUCCGGAUUUAUUGGGUUUAAAGGGUGCGCAGGCGGCCUGUUAAGUCAGCGGUAAAAUCGAGGGGCUCAACCCCUUUAAGCCGUUGAAACUGGUGAUCUUGAGUGGGCGAGAAGUAUGCGGAAUGCGUGGUGUAGCGGUGAAAUGCAUAGAUAUCACGCAGAACUCCGAUUGCGAAGGCAGCAUACCGGCGCCCGACUGACGCUGAGGCACGAAAGCGUGGGGAUCGAACAGGAUUAGAUACCCGAGUAGUC
This 459-nucleotide ribosomal RNA is filed under the name uncultured bacterium. RNAcentral describes it as "partial 16S ribosomal RNA". It matches the Rfam family "Bacterial small subunit ribosomal RNA", at positions 338 to 795 of the family's 1533-position model. The record is from RNAcentral.